Molecule: ribosomal RNA, 727 nt
Filed under: uncultured Gammaproteobacteria bacterium
Lineage: Bacteria; Pseudomonadati; Pseudomonadota; Gammaproteobacteria
Description: bacterial SSU rRNA
Rfam family: Bacterial small subunit ribosomal RNA
Source: RNAcentral
UGCAGUCGAGCGAGAAAGUAUCUUCGGAUAUGAGUAGAGCGGCGGACGGGUGAGUAACGCGUAGGAAUCUACCUAGUAGAAGGGGAUAGCCCGGGGAAACUCGGAUUAAUACCGUAUACCUCCUAAGGGAGAAAGAGGGCCUCUCUUGAUGCUCUCGCUAUUAGAUGAGCCUGCGUAAGAUUAGCUUGUUGGUAAGGUAAUGGCUUACCAAGGCUACGAUCUUUAGCUGGUCUGAGAGGACGAUCAGCCACAUUGGGACUGAGACACGGCCCAGACUCCUACGGGAGGCAGCAGUGGGGAAUAUUGGACAAUGGGCGCAAGCCUGAUCCAGCCAUACCGCGUGUGUGAAGAAGGCCUUCGGGUUGUAAAGCACUUUAAGCAGGGAGAAAAAGUUAUAAGUUAAUACCUUGUAACCGUGAUGUUACCUGCAGAAUAAGCACCGGCUAAUUCCGUGCCAGCAGCCGCGGUAAUACGGAAGGUGCAAGCGUUAAUCGGAAUUACUGGGCGUAAAGCGCGCGUAGGUGGUUUGUUAAGUUGGAUGUGAAAGCCCUGGGCUCAACCUAGGAACUGCAUCCAAAACUAACUCACUAGAGUACGAUAGAGGGAGGUAGAAUUCAUAGUGUAGCGGUGGAAUGCGUAGAUAUUAUGAAGAAUACCAGUGGCGAAGGCGGCCUCCUGGAUCUGUACUGACACUGAGGUGCGAAAGCGUGGGUAGCGAACAGGAUUA